Molecule: ribosomal RNA, 513 nt
Filed under: uncultured bacterium
Lineage: Bacteria
Description: bacterial SSU rRNA
Rfam family: Bacterial small subunit ribosomal RNA
Source: RNAcentral
AGGCAAGUGACUGUACCCCCCACGGAAGCGCGGGCUAGCGCCAUGCCAGCAGCAGCGGUAAGCCGUAGCGAGCGAGGUUUUUCCGGAAUCACUGGGAGUAAAGGGCGAGUAGGGGGCUUCAUAAGUAGUGGGUGAAAUCCUAGGGCUUCACUGCAGGAGUGCCUUCUAAACUUUAGGGGUAGAGCUUGGCACAGGCAGAUGCAAUUCCCGGUGGAGCGGUUGAAUGCGUAGAAAUCGGGAAGAACAUCACACCGAAGGCGGUCUGCUGGGCCGGGCACGGAGUGAGGCGGGACAGCGUGGGGAGCAAACAGGAUUAGAUUCCGUGGUAGUCCUCCCCGUAAACGAUGGGCACUAGGCGUCGGGGGGGUCGACCCUCACGGUGCCGUCGCUAACGCAGUAAGUGCCCCGCCUGGGGAGUCGGCCGCAAGGCUGAAACUCAAAGGAAUUGGCGGAAGCGAAUCCCCCGGCCGCCGUGGCGGCGGGGAGCACCGACUGGGGCCCAUUCACACAUUG